Molecule: ribosomal RNA, 468 nt
Filed under: uncultured bacterium
Lineage: Bacteria
Description: partial 16S ribosomal RNA
Rfam family: Bacterial small subunit ribosomal RNA
Source: RNAcentral
GACGAACGCUGGCGGCGGGCGGAACACAUGCAAGUCGAACGGAAAGGCCCUGCUUUUGUGGGGUGCUCGAGUGGCGAACGGGUGAGUAACACGUGAGUAACCUGCCCUUGACUUUGGGAUAACUUCAGGAAACUGGGGCUAAUACCGGAUAGGAGCUCCUGCUGCAUGGUGGGGGUUGGAAAGUUUCGGCGGUUGGGGAUGGACUCGCGGCUUAUCAGCUUGUUGGUGGGGUAGUGGCUUACCAAGGCUUUGACGGGGAGCCGGCCUGAGAGGGUGACCGGCCACAUUGGGACUGAGAUACGGCCCAGACUCCUACGGGAGGCAGCAGUGGGGAAUAUUGCACAAUGGGCGGAAGCCUGAUGCAGCAACGCCGCGUGCGGGAUGACGGCCUUCGGGUUGUAAACCGCUUUCGCCUGUGACGAAGCGUGAGUGACGGUAAUGGGUAAAGAAGCACCGGCUAACUACGUG